This is a long non-coding RNA of Sinocyclocheilus grahami, 1054 nucleotides long. Ensembl lists it as uncharacterized. Lineage: Eukaryota; Metazoa; Chordata; Actinopteri; Cypriniformes; Cyprinidae. The record is from Ensembl.
AGAGAGAGUCAGAGUGGAAUAAACUCAGACGGUGAGGACACACAGACCGCAGAAUCACAACCAUGAAUGCUGUAAAUGCUGUGCAACUGUUCAUUCUGGUUUGGACCUUUACUGCUGUCUGUCAAGCUGAUAAAGAUUUAAGUGUAAGCUGUGAUGAUGUGAUUGGAUCUGUGGGGAAAGAAGUACAUCUCACCUGCAGCGUCUCACUGCAGUGCCCUAAUUGUUCCAUUCAAAUGUGUAAGUUUCGAUACCCUGAGAGCUUCAAAGACUCAACAAUCUGUAAAGAAGAGCCUCCUGUGAACUCCUGUGAUCAGAGAAACAGCUUCACAUGCCGCUACACUCCAAAUACAACAAUGACAGAAAAAUUCAGUUUCUUUGUGCAAACAAACUGUGGAAGGAAAACAACAAAAUUCACUGUGGACAUAGCAGAUUCAUCAUUAAUAAAAGCAGAGGAUCCUGAAUCUAAGGAUUCUGCAUCCAAGGACACUGACAUCAUUGCAGCUGUGGGCUGUUUCAGCAUCGUUCUCAUCAUCGUCAUCAUGACAGUCAUUUGCCAAACGAAACCAAACUUCCCCAAACCUUGUGGAUUCCAGAAGAGGAUGUUGCAUGAUGAAGAGAACACCACUCCUCCAGAAGAUGUGAUAUAACAGCAUUGACUCAGCAGUACGAGUUCUCAUGCAGUGCUCAUGAAACACACAGCUUUAUCUGAACUCCACUAAACUAUCUGUUGCAUCUCAAACUACUGAAUAUAUAACUCUGGUUGUUGGUUUAAAACUCUGUUUCUGUUUUAUAUUGAUUUCUGUGAAAUAACAGUAUAUUAUCGAUCUUUUUGUUCAGUGUAUAUGUGACUCUAAUGAACUCACGCCUCUCUGAACUUUAAGAGGAAACACAGCUAAACUCAAACUGUGUUUGGCUUUGCUGUUUUUUCAGAAUGUCAAGGAAUGUCUAUAAUGAAUAUCAGUGUAUUAAUGUUAAUAUAACUCAAGUUUGGAAAUGAUUUCUUAAUAUUUUGCACAUACAAUUUUCUAAUAGUGUGAUUGGUGUGGUUUUGAAC